CCUACGGGAGGCAGCAGUAAGGAAUCUUCCGCAAUGGGCGAAAGCCUGACGGAGCAACGCCGCGUGGGCGAUGAAGGCCUUCGGGUCGUAAAGCCCUUUUCUGUGGGACGAUAAUGACGGUACCACAGGAAUAGGCCACGGCUAACUACGUGCCAGCAGCCGCGGUAAUACGUAGGUGGCUAGCGUUAUCCGGAUUCACUGGGCGUAAAGAGCGUGUAGGUGGUUGGGCAAGUCAGAUGUGAAAGCCCUCCGCUUAACGGAGGAAGUGCAUUUGAAACUGCCCAGCUAGAGUACGGGAGAGGAGAGUGGAAUUCCCGGUGUAGAGGUAAAAUUCGUAGAUAUCGGGAGGAACACCAGUGGCGAGGGCGGCUCUCUGGACCGAUACUGACACUGAGACGCGAAAGCGGGGGGAGCAAACAGGAUUAGAUACCCGUGUAGU
Molecule: ribosomal RNA, 439 nt
Filed under: uncultured bacterium
Lineage: Bacteria
Description: partial 16S ribosomal RNA
Rfam family: Bacterial small subunit ribosomal RNA
Source: RNAcentral